GGGCAACAUUUGAGGAUUGUGAAAAGAAGAGGAGGAAGAGGAUGAAAACUCGCUCGACGUUAUUGUUUCUGUAAAUCCAGAGAAGAAAAAUCUGUGAAUUCUUUACUUUCAUGAGUUUCUUCUCAACAGGAAAGUUCCUCGUUGUUCCGCUCAUUCAAAAUGGCCGACUGCCGAGCUCCAGGUGGUGCAACACCGGAGACGACGCUUCACUUCCUGUUUCCUGUCAACCGUCCGACGCUGGUUCCAUUAAACCAUGGUUCAGCAUCUGAGUCAACCGCUGCCCUCCGGCUGUGUGAACUGGAUCUGGGCCUUUUCAUCACAAAACCCUGCAGCAGCCAGAAGAGAGAAGCUCGCGUCCCCCCUCCGAGUGAGUGGGCAGAAGAUUGUGAUGAAGAAGCAGGGGGCAAGUGUUGACAAGGAGGUGGAGAGAAACUUAAAGCUCAACGGAGAGUGAAUGUUGGACAAACAUUCGUUGGGUCGCCAGGCAACUCCUGUACCAAGUCCGUCAAAUCAACAUAGUCGGGUGAUAACGCGUCAGUAUCCUGUCUACAGCGUGCUGCGCUGCCCCCGAGUGGCUGGAACAGGUUUUUAUUACACGUUUAAAUGGCCGUAACUCAGCAGGGAGGAAUCAUCCAACCAUCAGUCAGUGGGCGCCAUUGUCUGUCACUGUGUUUGUUCUGGAACAGAUUUUUGAAUAAAGCUUUAGACUUUCAAAUGUUUGAAAACACAUAUAAAUUUUUUUUCUUUGGAACUAGAACGUUAUGUAAAAUUGGCGGCGGCGUGUUUCCUCUGAGCUCAGAGGCCACGCCGGUGUCACCUCUGUGUGCC
Scophthalmus maximus (turbot) is the source of this 828-nucleotide long non-coding RNA. RefSeq lists it as uncharacterized. The record is from RefSeq and is a predicted model, not a curated record. The transcript has 3 exons. Lineage: Eukaryota; Metazoa; Chordata; Actinopteri; Pleuronectiformes; Scophthalmidae.